Tetranychus urticae (two-spotted spider mite) is the source of this 1246-nucleotide non-coding RNA. Lineage: Eukaryota; Metazoa; Arthropoda; Arachnida; Trombidiformes; Tetranychidae. The record is from RefSeq and is a predicted model, not a curated record.
UCACCAUUCAGUUAACAUCUAUAAGUCCUUAUUAUUCGUUUAUCAUCGUUUCAUAGUUUGCUUCUCAUUGUGUUUAAUACGUGUUGCCAGUGGAAUAUUUUCAUCUCAUUUCAUUUCAUAAACCAAUAGGAAAUAAAUAAUUAAGGUAAACACCUAAGAUGUCAGAAAAUUGCCAUGUCUGUGGACGAGCUUUGACAAAAAGAGGCAGAAAAAAAUGCCAGAAAGAGCUGUUGCUGCUUUAUAUGACUGAAAUGCAGAAAAACACAUAUCAUCCUGAUUCUUGUUCAGUUUGCCGAAGCUGUGCUGUUGCUUAUGAGGCAUGGAAAAGAAAUAGAUCUUCAGAAUCAAACCAAUACCGCGAACGAGACCAAGAAAUAGCAUCAAGUUCAGCUUCUGAAUCUUCUGGCACUACACCUUCAGUCUCUUCUGCGAGUUUAUCAGAAUCUUUACCAUCUAGUGCAGGAUCAUCUUCAGCUGGGCCAUCACGAAAACGUCGUUAUAGAUCCGACCUGCAUGUCAAUAUGUCAACUGGUUGAAAAGUUAUCAGGUACCGACCAAAAAGAGGCCACUGUUAGAAACAGACGAAAUAAAUGUCAUAUCGUGAAAAGCCGUUGUACAUUUUUUGUUUAUGCUAAAAGAAUAAUUUUGAUCCAAUCGAAAUCAAUUUUGAACAUGAUCUGGUCAUCUGACAUUCAUUCGAAGUUAAACUACUUAAUAGCGAUAAAACGUGAUAAAGGCAUUGUAGAAGUUUUUCCUUCUGUAGAUCGCUAGAGUACAUUGAUGUGUAUAUGUAUAUUAAGUUUCAGCACUCUAGCUUGAUUAGUUUACGAAAAAUCGCCCAAAAUUGUUUCAACUUUGAAGCGCGAUUGUGGCCGAACGCGUCAUCCUAAAAGACUUUUAACAAAAGUUAACAGUGUUUUUUCAACCCCCCUAUCAUAAUAUCAAAUUAAUUUCAAAAUCAAAUAAGGUCGAUUUUUGGUGGCAGAUACCCCUUUUCAAAAACAGAUUUUCAUUUAGUUUUGUGUUGGACAAGGUUAAUGAAGCUUUGGCUUUAGCGAAGUUGGCGAUUGUUUCAAUGAUUAUCAGCUGGUAAUGCACUUACUUCAUAAAAACAAUUUACGGUGAUUCCAAUGUAAGUAUUUGAUUCGUAUUUUAUAAAAAUAGUCAAUUAGUAAUUUCCUUAAGAGAGAGAGAGAGUAAAAAACGUUUCCUUAAGAGCAUAGUAGAGUGUAGUUGAACGAUUCAA